GAUGAACGCUGGCGGCGUGCCUAAUACAUGCAAGUCGAACGCCUCACUUCGGUGAAGAGUGGCGAACGGGUGAGUAAUACAUAAGUAACCUGGCAUCUACAGGGGGAUAACUGAUGGAAACGUCAGCUAAGACCGCAUAGGUGUAGAGAUCGCAUGAACUCUAUAUGAAAAGUGCUACGGGACUGGUAGAUGAUGGACUUAUGGCGCAUUAGCUUGUUGGUAGGGUAACGGCCUACCAAGGCGACGAUGCGUAGCCGACCUGAGAGGGUGACCGGCCACACUGGGACUGAGACACGGCCCAGACUCCUACGGGAGGCAGCAGUAGGGAAUUUUCGGCAAUGGGGGAAACCCUGACCGAGCAACGCCGCGUGAAGGAAGAAGUAAUUCGUUAUGUAAACUUCUGUCAUAGAGGAAGAACGGUGGAUAUAGGGAAUGAUAUCCAAGUGACG
RNAcentral lists this ribosomal RNA (449 nucleotides) under uncultured bacterium. RNAcentral's name for it is "bacterial SSU rRNA". It matches the Rfam family "Bacterial small subunit ribosomal RNA", at positions 28 to 474 of the family's 1533-position model. The record is from RNAcentral.